CCCUACGGGGCGCAGCAGGGUGACGUGAUUGUCGGGGGGCGCAACUUCGGCUGCGGUUCCUCCCGCGAACAUGCCCCGCUUGCCCUGAGGGGGGCCGGGGUGAAGGUUGUCGUGGCCGGUUCGUUUGCAAGGAUCUUCUUCCGGAACUCGAUCAACGUGGGAGUGCUCCCGGUGGUCUGCCCGGAUGCGGACAAGAUCGCCGAUGGCGCAAAAAUAACCCUCAAUACCAAAUGGGGUUAUCUCGAGGCGGACGGGAAGAGAUACGCAAUUGAGCCAGUCCCGGAGUUCAUGCAGGGCAUCAUCGAUGCCGGCGGGCUUGUGGAAUAUGCGAAAAAUCUGAAGGAGGUACCGGCAUGUAUAAGAUAGCGUCAAUUGGCGGGAGGGC
This 385-nucleotide ribosomal RNA is filed under the name uncultured prokaryote. RNAcentral describes it as "partial 16S ribosomal RNA". The record is from RNAcentral.